UGUAUCAACUUCCGGCUUUCUGCUAUGAAUUUUUGCUAUUUUAAAGAAGUUUUUGACCCUUUUGGUUGUUUAAUGUCUGAAUUUCAUUUUGGUUUUGUCAAUCCCGCUGAAUAAGUGGUGGGAGGUUUCUCACUUAGUAAAAGCUAUGAAUGCCUGGUAGCUAAAGAAGUGGCAUUCUCAGGAGGGAGACCAUUCCCCUGCAGAAAAUACCCCAGAUUUUCCAUCUAGAGCUGUCAUCUUGCUGACUGAGAAGCAGCUGGAAGUAUCCUUCCUGACAUCCUCUCUGACAUGCUCUUUGGGAAAAAGAGAUAUGGUGCAUCUCCUUAUUCACUGCUUCAUAAGAGCUACACUGAAGGGGGAAUCUGCUUGGCUAUAUGGAAUGUGGCUCGUCUAUAGUGGUGGAAAAUUCUGUCUCCCUCCUCUCUUCCACUUAAAAUCUGAGGGACAGUCAUGCUCCAGGAAAACGAGAAGCAUGCUCUUAUGGGGAUAGCAGAGCCCACCCUUUUCACUGGGCAUGGGAAUCUCUCCGGGUUCGCUGCAAAGACAGAAUGCUGAUGAGUGCAAGGGGUCUGAGUGCUGGGUCAGUGGUGGGGAACAACAGGCCUUCACAACCAGCCCCACAGCACCAGCAGUCACAAACCGGAAGGAGGCCCAUUUUGGGAAGACACCUGCAGUAAGAAGAAGUCCAUCUAUUUGGAAAGCCUUAAUACAGAAGGUUUACCACUAAAGGCAGAAGAGACAGAGAGAGCUGCUGAUCCUUUUCCAGGUGGUGACUGGCAAGACACAAAAGGCAUGUCAGCAUUCUUUAUCCCCUUUUCCACGUUCUUGACUGCGGAUCUGAGUGUAUACUUGUGCCCCUGGGGCUAGAUGAGGUGCCAAGGCACAUGCACCUGCCUCAUGUGCAUGCAGCCAGUACAACAUAAGCAUUGCUUAUAAAUCCAGAGUUGCUUGUACCAUGGCAAGAGCAAAACAGAAAAAUAAGGUGUGAGGCAGAAGUGGCAGGCCUUUGGAAAACAAGAAAACCACCCACUGGGACCUGGUUUUGCAGAUGGACUGUGAGAAUGCCCAAACACAUGUGGGCUGUCUGCCUGGGUACCUAGUUUUUGUGCUUUGCAUGCAGUAGUGUUUAUAAAGUGUGUGUAAAAUAAGCCUUACUUCUUACUAAUAUUUUUUUUAACUUAGAAUAUUGGGGUUUUUAUCAUUAGUAUUCUUCUUUAAGUACUCAAAAGAAAUUAGUUAAAUACUAGACAGAAACAUGUUUAUUUUCCUUUUUGUCAGUACAUGUGCAUCCCUGCUCUCUUGUGCUCUCUCUUCCUCUCUCUCUUUUGUGUUUACAUCCUCCCAGACAGUUCUUGCGCUCACAGCUCUCUUUAACAGGACUGUUUUAUUCUUCGUAAAAUUGAGACUUAUAAAAGAAAUAAAUCUUGCUAUUGUUCUCUUGGGGUGCAGCUGUGCUAAACUGCAAUCAUGGGAGUUGAAACAGGUUUCCUCUCACAAUAACACUUAUAUUCGUUUCCUGACGCUCUUUCUUAAUAACGAGUGUCUUCAGCUGACCAAGGGGAACAAGAUUCCUCUGCUCAGCACUUCUGAAGCUAAAAUAACACCAGUGUAGCACAGAACAGUUACUCUUAUAUUGCAGUAUUUUAAUUAUUUUUAUUUUUGCAUUGGCUAAAGAUCCGCUAGAUCUCUAAUUUCUGAGUUAAUACUUCCAUUUCCUCCUGUUCCUUCCCUGAAAUUUCUCCUACUACUGUGACAUAUUUUUUCAUGGAGAGCUAAUUAAUCCAGGCCUUACCACUUAUAUUACCUGCUUCUCUUUGUCUUUUUACUAAAGGUUGAGCACAAAAAGUAGAUCAAAACAUCUGAGAAAGAUGCAAUAUAGAGCUUAUCGAGUCUCAUAAGGAUGGAAAAACAUGACACUUCCAGCAUAUUGAGGCACUUCCUCUGACUUCUGGAAGUAAGAGUGAAAUGGGUAUCUUUGUGUUUCUGAUUUUUCACUUGUAAAACUUAUUAGAGUAGUAGAAUUGUGUUAACCAUAUCUCCUCUGUAUGUCCAGACCUUUAGAUGAAACAUGUGGUAGAUAUUACUCAGAUUUUUAUCAGUGAUACAUACACAAAUGUGAUACUUUCAGUUUGGAGGACAGAUUCUAGCAAUUGAUACCUUAGUGACUGUCAAAAAUAUGUCUUUUCCUCUUUUUAUUUUCCUGACAUGAAUAAAUGCUGUUUACAGAGCAGUUAAUAUAUUACAAAUGUUGCUGAAAACAGGAAAGAGUGAGUUCUUCUCACUUUCAUUUCAGAAGACGUUGCUAUGGAAAGCAAUAUCUGCUUUAGUUAAGUUUGAAAAUCUGUACAGGAAACUAAUAUUUUUUUAUGUUAAUAUUUUUAACCAAUAAAUUGUCUUUCUUUGUAUAUAACAAGGACUUCAGGAAAACCUCCUUAAGUAUAUAUAAACAAAAAACUGCCUCCUGUUGUGUUUGCAUCUUCCAUGUCUGCCCUGCAGCUGACGCAUCCCUCUGUAUCUUUUAAUGAAGAUGAAAAGCACUGCAAGACCUUAUUAUUGUAACCUUUCCUUUAACACAGGGGAGAGCCUGGAUCCGGUACUAAGCAAGAAAACAUGAAAAGGCGCUUUUUCUUUUUUUUCCCUUUUUUCCAGGGGAACAAGGUCAUGAAAAUGACAAUCUGCAGGAUGCAAUGCCUGGAUAAACUGCUGGUGUGGAAGUAGCUGCCAAUAGGAAGAACACCUGCAAAGGGCUCUGUACUAUCUCAUCCUCACUGUGUCUCUCUUAUUAUACACAAAGAGCACUUUUUGCAGAGUGCUGUCACAGACCUUUGCUGCAUAUAAUUCUUAAGGGCAGCAUAACAGAUCCAGGCAGAGAGAGUGGGAAGACUGUUUCACUGAUGUCCGUGGCAACAUUUACCUGCUCUAGGGUAUUCACAAGCUUUGCUACUUAUUUAAGCAUAGCAUUACAAGGCUUUCAGAACUGACUUCAGGAGACUUGGAUGCUGUACUCCCUAAUACACAAUAUUUAUUCUGCUCAAAAGCAGUAAUCAACAAUGUUUUGAAGGGCUAUGACAUACUGGAGAAAAAUGCCUGGCACUGGAAUUCAUAUGGCCUGACUUCAACUCUUUGUAAAGCUUACUAUGAGGUCUUGGGAAAGACAUCUAAUGUACAUUUAAUGUGUGUCAAGUUCUUCAGCAUGAAUAAUUGUUUUUAACAUCUGUGAACUUCUAUGAGAUCUACAGUGGAAAAGCACUAGGGAGGCUUGAUCUAUAACCCUAUUCAGAGCACUCCCGCCAGUCAUCCACAUGUUUCUGUCAUGACUCACUCCUAGCUUUUUCCUUCUUCUACCAGCCUGAAGCAAAGCUGUCUGCAUGGGUUUUGCCUGAGGUUGAAUUGUGUGUGAAAGGUUGAGGAGAAAAAAAAUUGUUACCCUGUGCUGAAAUGUGAGAUGGGAGGAAGGAGGAAGAGCCCUAAACAAACAAAAAAUGUGCAAAUGGGUCCUGAGGUUUUUAUGUGAACAUCUGGUAGUACCAAGGCCACAUGAAGCCAAAGACUGAAUUUCUGAUUCUAAGAAAGGACUUAAUGAAUAUAAUAAACACUACUGAUAGUUUCAACAAAGGAUUUCUGGGAUUUAGCAAAAAUGAACAUUUGAAAGCCAUCAUUUUAGUAAUUCUGACCAUAGCAAUGUUUUCAAUCAUGAUUUCCCAACUUUCCAGUGAAGUUCAUAUACUUUGUUCUUGUCUGGAUGGCUGAUUAAAAUCCUUAUUAAAAAUACACAAGGUUCAAACUCCUGCCAAUGGUUCCACAAAGUCUCUUCCUACUAUUUUAACUCUGUCCCUGACCUUUACCAAAACAUAAGCACAAGGUCACUUGUAUUACAAUUACCUGAAUAAAGGUAAGAAGGUGUUUGUAGGUUUACAGGAAGGUUCGGGUCUUUAACUGGUUAUUCCAUUACUUGUUAAUUACUGAUUACUUAAUGAUAGAGAGUUGACCUCUAUGAUAUACAAACAAAAUGUCUAAUUUUAGCAUAAAGGUGAUAUAAUUCUCUCCCUUCAAACCACAGAAAUACAGUUUAUCUGAUUUGGAUUUUAUAUGAAAAAAAAUAAAAAUGUAUAAAAGUCAAAACCCGCCCUUGGAUGCAAGUACAACCCCCAAAGUCAUUUGGAGACCAAUGCCUGUAUCUAAAAAUGGAAUAUAGCUCCCAGACUAGGUUAAAAUUCAGCAUUGCUAUGCCACAUAUUAAGGUGCUGUCAUAGGUUAAACCAGUGAUGAUCUCCUUCCUCAGCACUGAUUUAAAAGGCUGAAACCAUCCCCCCAGCCUGCACUCUAAAUUUUUAUGUAAAACUCUGUAUUCUGAGAAGUACAGUAGAUUUGGACUUAGUAAAUCAAACUUGAAAGAAGAUAUUUCUUAUGAUAGUUACAGCAUAUUUCAUAGGAAAUACUUCUCUGCUUGGAGAAGUAGAAAGAAAGUCAUCACAUUAGUACUAAUACAAACAGAUUGCCUGAACACUCUAAAAACUGUGUCUUUGUGGUUUUUCCCUGUCUAUGCUCUCAUCCUGCUAAGUGUCAAUAUAAAUUAUGCCUCCUUAAUUUGAACCUAUCUAUCUGGAUUGAUAUCUGCCAUCAACUGUUUAGAUGAUUUUCCACUUUGUGUCAGGUCAUUUUCUAAAUAAAGAACAAGUAACCCAAACCAAAAUAUUAAAAGGUACCUUUCUUUUUAGUGCUUAUGCUGAAAAAAGACAGGCAACAGUUAAAUAUUUCCAGAGAACUCUGCUGAAUAUGUUGCCAACAUUUUUCUGAUAAAAAUGUAGACUCUAGUGUUGUUUUCUUCUUAAAACAACUUUUUCCUUCUACAGCUUUUCUGUGACUGCAAAACAGAGCUCCAAGGAUAUAAAAUAUUCACUGUCUUCUUUAUUUAUUUAUUUUUUGGCAUACGUACCCUGGCAAUUUAGUAGAAGGGCAAUAUAUAUAAAAUGUACAAUGGCAGGAGAAAGGUUCACUCUCUGAAAAUUUUCUUUUACCUUUGUAAAAAUACAGUUAUAAACAGUCAUGGGAUAUAUAUGCUAACAAUGGAUAAUCUGAUGUAAGUAAGUAGCUUCAUUGAUUGAAUUCUUCUGUUGAUUUAUACUAGUUUAACAAAACGUGAAAGUUUCUUAAGUAUUGAUUAUAUAUAUGAGGCAUCUUUAUUUGAUAGUGUGUGGUAAGUAUGGAUGUCUUGGAAACAGUUUGGACAGAAUUACAAAGUUCCUUAGGAAAUGGUGUCAGAAGGUCACAUGGUUCAGAAUGCAUCGCUCAUGUGGAAGAUUAUGGAACUGAGAACUUCACCUUUGCCAAUAUACUUUUCCAGUACUUAUCCUAUCUCUCAAGUAUUUACAUGGUAUAAGUUUAUGUGAUCUGUUGCAUUUCUUUCAUAUUCAGCAGCUUAGGAUCAAGAUAAUAAACAGAAAAAAACCCAAAACAAACAAACAAAAAAAAGCAACAACGCAACCCAAAAUCCCCAAAAAUCCAAGGCCCCAAAAAAUCAACACACAAAUGUUCUUUCAACACUAGUUUUCAGGAGUUUUGUUAUGCUUAGCAAAAAGCCACUGCACAGCAAAAGUUUUCCACCAUUUGCAAUAAUGCUUCUGAUCAUACUACUUAUGGGCAUUAUGGGCAUAAAAACUGAUUAAAUGAUUUGUGUUUAACAUGA
Long non-coding RNA from Parus major (Great Tit), 5686 nucleotides. RefSeq lists it as uncharacterized. The transcript is spliced from 2 exons. Lineage: Eukaryota; Metazoa; Chordata; Aves; Passeriformes; Paridae. The record is from RefSeq and is a predicted model, not a curated record.